UGGGGAAUAUUGGACAAUGGGCGAAAGCCUGAUCCAGCCAUGCCGCAUGAGUGAAGAAGGCCUUUGGGUUGUAAAGCUCUUUUAGUGAGGAAGAUAAUGACGGUACUCACAGAAGAAGUCCUGGCUAACUCCGUGCCAGCAGCCGCGGUAAUACGGAGAGGGCUAGCGUUAUUCGGAAUUAUUGGGCGUAAAGGGCGCGUAGGCUGGUUAAUAAGUUAAAAGUGAAAUCCCGAGGCUUAACCUUGGAAUUGCGUUUAAAACUAUGAAUCUAGAGAUUGAAAGAGGAUAGAGGAAUUCCUGAUGUAGAGGUAAAAUUCGUAAAUAUUAGGAGGAACACCGGUGGCGAAGGCGUCUAUCUGGUUCAAAUCUGACGCUGAAGCGCGAAGGCGUGGGGAGCAAACA
RNAcentral lists this ribosomal RNA (402 nucleotides) under uncultured bacterium. RNAcentral describes it as "partial 16S ribosomal RNA". It matches the Rfam family "Bacterial small subunit ribosomal RNA", at positions 355 to 774 of the family's 1533-position model. The record is from RNAcentral.